Molecule: microRNA precursor, 128 nt
Filed under: Musa acuminata subsp. malaccensis (wild Malaysian banana)
Lineage: Eukaryota; Viridiplantae; Streptophyta; Magnoliopsida; Zingiberales; Musaceae
Source: RNAcentral
AGGUCACAGUGUGUAGCCAAGGAUGACUUGCCGGCGAGCUUACUCAUGCAUGUUCAUCUUGAAUAGCAGUAGUAGCACGCACCGUUGUUAAAGGCCGGCAAGUCGUUUUUGGCUACAUGUUUGCCUCU